Molecule: RNA transcript, 1486 nt
Organism: Carlito syrichta (Philippine tarsier)
Lineage: Eukaryota; Metazoa; Chordata; Mammalia; Primates; Tarsiidae
Gene name: actin-related protein 3 pseudogene
Exons: 1
Source: RefSeq, a predicted model, not a curated record
UCUCUCGCUACUGCUUCGGCUUCCCGCCCCCCCCCGGACGGCGAGGCCGGGCCCGGCUGUGGAUGGCCAGAUAGCCCCUGUCUUCCGCCGCCCAUCUCUGGCCUCUACCAGCACGGAGCAGACGGCGGCCGCAGCAGCAGCAGGUGAGGAGGAAGAUGGCGGGACAGCUGCGGCCUGUGUGGUGGACUGUGGCACGGGGUAUACAAAACUAGGAUCUGCUGGAAAUACAGAACCACCGUUUAUUAUCCCUUCCUGUAUUGCUAUUAAGGAGUCAGCAAAAGUGGGUGAUCAAGCUCAAAGAAGGGUGAUGAAAGGUGUUGAUGACCUAGACUUCUUCAUUGGCGAUGAAGCAAUAGAAAAACCUGCAUAUGCGACAAAGUGGCCAAUCCGCCAUGGUAUAGUUGAAGAUUGGGACUUGAUGGAAACGUACAUGGAGCAGGUGAUCUUUAAAUACUUAAGGGCAGAACCUGAAGAUCAUUAUUUUCUUUUGACUGAACCUCCACUGAAUACUCCAGAAAACAGGGAAUAUACUGCUGAAAUAAUGUUUGAGUCUUUCAAUGUCCCAGGCUUGUACCUUGCUGUGCAGGCUGUUCUUGCCUUAGCUGCAUCCUGGACUUCAAGACAAGUAGGAGGACGGACAUUGACUGGUACAGUAAUAGACAGUGGAGAUGGUGUCACUCAUGUCAUUCCUGUGGCUGAAGGGUAUGUGAUUGGCAGCUGUAUUAGACACAUUCCAAUCGCAGGACGGGAUAUAACAUUUUAUUCAGCAACUGCUGAGAGACCGAGAAGUAGGAAUCCCUCCAGAACAAUCCCUGGAAACUGCUAAGGCAGUAAAGGAGCGCUAUAGUUAUGUCUGCCCAGAUUUAGUAAAAGAAUUUAACAAGUAUGACACAGAUGGGUCAAAAUGGAUUAAACAGUAUACUGGAAUCGAUGCUAUCUCAAAGAAAGAAUUGUCUAUUGAUGUUGGUUAUGAGAGAUUUUUGGGAACCUGAAAUCUUCUUUCAUCCAGAGUUUGCUAAUGCAGACUUUACACAGCCUAUCUCAGAAGUUGUAGAUGAAGUAAUUCAGAAUUGUCCUAUUGAUGUCAGACGUCCUCUGCACAAGAAUAUUGUCCUCUCUGGAGGUUCAACCAUGUUCAGGGACUUUGGACGUCGCUUGCAAAGAGAUUUGAAAAGAACUGUAGAUGCCCGGCUGAAAUUAAGUGAGGAACUAAGUGGCGGUAGAUUGAAGCCAAAACCUAUUGAUGUACAAGUCAUUACACACCACAUGCAGCGAUACGCAGUCUGGUUUGGAGGGUCAAUGCUGGCUUCCACGACUGAGUUCUACCAAGUUUGCCACACCAAAAAGGCUUAUGAAGAAACUGGACCUAGUAUUUGUCGUCACAUCCAGUGUUUGGAGUCAUGUCGUAAAAUUGACUUCAUAGUUAUUGGGGUUAGGGUGUUGGGGAAGAGAUAAUCUUUAUGAUUACCUGUUUUGUCUAGAUGUC